AACGCGAAGAACCUUACCAAGGCUUGACAUGCAUUAGAUCGCGUCAGAGAUGGCGUUUCCCUUCGGGGCUGGUGUACAGGUGGUGCAUGGUUGUCGUCAGCUCGUGUCGUGAGAUGUUGGGUUAAGUCCCGCAACGAGCGCAACCCUCGUUCUAUGUUGCCAGCGGUUCGGCCGGGGACUCAUAGGAGACUGCCGGGGUCAACUCGGAGGAAGGUGGGGAUGACGUCAAAUCAUCAUGCCCCUUAUGUCUUGGGCUUCACGCAUGCUACAAUGGCCGGUACAGAGGGUUGCGAUACUGUGAGGUGGAGCUAAUCCCUUAAAGCCGGUCUCAGUUCGGAUUGGGGUCUGCAACUCGACCCCAUGAAGUCGGAGUCGCUAGUAAUCGCAGA
This 389-nucleotide ribosomal RNA is filed under the name uncultured Rothia sp. RNAcentral describes it as "bacterial SSU rRNA". It matches the Rfam family "Bacterial small subunit ribosomal RNA", at positions 958 to 1348 of the family's 1533-position model. The record is from RNAcentral. Lineage: Bacteria; Bacillati; Actinomycetota; Actinomycetes; Micrococcales; Micrococcaceae.